This 3721-nucleotide long non-coding RNA is filed under the name Salvia miltiorrhiza (redroot sage). RNAcentral describes it as "long non-coding RNA (SMIL_LNC005212)". Lineage: Eukaryota; Viridiplantae; Streptophyta; Magnoliopsida; Lamiales; Lamiaceae. The record is from RNAcentral.
CGCCCCUGUCCAAUUGUGUGAUGUUUACUUUUCUUGAUUUUUCGAUCAAUGUGGUGCAUUGUUUGACAGAUUCAAACAGAAGUGAAGCAUUGAAUUGGGAGAAGAGAUUGCAAAUAAUUAUAGGAAUAGCAGAGGGAUUGGUGUACCUCCAUGAGAAAGCACACACAAAAAUCAUCCACAGAGACAUAAAAGCGAGCAAUAUACUAUUGGAUUCCAAAUUAAGUGCUAAAAUCGCAGAUUUUGGGCUGGUUAGAUCUUUCAAUGAAGAUAAAAGCCACAUCAGCACAGCCAUUGCCGGAACUUUGUAAGUAUCUUCAUAAUUUGUUUUAAUUUUUCAAAUCCGAAAAAGAUACUCCCUCUGUUCACGAGAAAUUUGUCACAUUGAGAACAAUGCGAAUUUUAAUAAAAUGUGAUUAAAGUUGUUAGUGAAGUAAGGGCCGCACGGCACUUUAAGUGUGAGUGGAGUUGUGUGGAUCCCACUACUAUAAAUGAAAGUGACAAAUUUUUCGUAGACGAAAAUAGUGAAAAAUAGUCACUCUCGAUAAUGAAAUGUCAGGGGAUACUUGGCCCCUGAGUACCUCGCCCGCGGACAAUUGACUGAGAAAGUGGAUGUUUAUAGCUUCGGCGUGCUUUUACUUGAGAUCGUCACCGGCACACAGAACAACGGAAGUCAGAACUCUGAGCUCGUAGACAGCAUGCUAACUCAAGUAAGUGUCUACUAUUUUUCCAUUUUCAUCAGUUCACGAAAUAUUUUUCUAUUAUCACUUUUUUUAAUUUAUGGGACCCCUUCUUUACUCACCAAAUACAUAACUAUUUUUUUUUUAAAAAUCAUGUCGACUUCUAUUGGAAAGAUGUUUUGUGAAUGGAGAAAAUAUUAUUUAAUACUACAUAGUUAUGAGUUAUAGUUUAUGGCCUGACCUUUAAUACAAGUUUUUUGAAAAUGAUCCUGACUUUCAAAAUUUUCAAAAAUAAUAGUAUGACGUUUGGGGGAAGUUUCAAUCAACCCUAAUUUAAUUGAGGGUGAAUUACUAAAAUGUUUCAAAAGUAGCACUCCCUCCGUCCACAAAUUAAAGCACCAUUUGAGGGUGGGCACGGAGACUAAAAAAGCUGAAAAAUGUGUUGUAGAUGAAAUAUAAGGGUAGUUGACUGAAGUGAUAAAGUGGUUGACUAAAGUGUUAAAGGUGUUGUGUGGUGGGUCCACUAGUGAUAAGGUGUAAUAAAUAUAGAAUAUAAAAAUGAUAAAGUUGUUGUAAGGUGAGUCCAUUAGUGGCAAAGUGUAGUAAAUAUAGGAAAAGAAGAAGAGUAAAAAGAUACAUAAAGCACAAUAGGGCUUUAAUUGAUGGACAAAAAUUUAAGUGUAAGUAGGGCUUUAAUUCGUGGGAGGAGUGAGUAUCAAAUUUGCAAAAUUUGAUUACAAGUGAAGAGAGUUUUCGAAAUUGGGCCCUUCCUGUUGUAGGUCGGGCUGGGCCAUGCUUUUUUAAGACCCAACUGUUUGUUUUUGGGCUACCAAUCUCCCUUGGGCCCGACUAGUCAAAAAGUGAUGAUUUAUUUGAUAAUUAACUCUUGGAAUAAUAAUAAUAUCAUCAACUAUAAUUUCUAAUAUAGUAUUUGUUAUAAUCCAGGCAUGGAGGCAUUUCGAGCAAAGAAUAAUUGAUGAGCUCAUUGAUCCAAACCUAAUGCCACAUGAUAAUAAUGACAUAAAAAAUGAGAUCUUACGAGUCUUUCACGUAGGGCUAUUGUGUAGCCAAGAAGUGCCGUCGCGGCGGCCAUCCAUGUCCACGGCGUUGACGAUGCUGAUCGGGAAACAACACCUCCCAACACCGACGAGCCCUCCAUUCGUGGACGAGAUAACUAUGCAGCUAGAGGAGGAGGACCCGAGUCGGGGCACAUCGCCAAUGCUCGGUUAUAGCAAUGCCACUAUAUCUCGGAGCAUUUUUCUUCCGAGAUAGUAGUGCACAAUGUAUGCUAAAGAUUUCACCUCACUAAAAAAUAAUUAAUUAUUUGUUUUUUUUUAGAUGGGGUUCAGCCUACCUCGGGUAUGCCAUUAAUGCUAAUGACAUUGUGUUAUCGAGAGUUAAAACUAGAGAAGCAAAUCAUUUGGUAGUAAUAUUCGUAAAUACUUCCUUCAUCCCACUGUAUCUGAGACUCUUUCAAUUUUGGGCGUUCCACUGUAAGUGAGACUCUUUCCUUUUUGGGUAAAAGUUUUUCCCUUUAAACACCUUUUCACUUUUUCACCGACACAUAAAAUACACUUUUUUUAAUUCCCGUGCCCAAAAAAGGUCUCACUUACAGUGGGACGGAAGGAGUAAUUACAACUAAUCUUUUAUGUACUUUAAUAAAAGAGACUUGUUUUUAUAAAAAAUAUGUUGCUUGUUAUGUUAUUAUGUUUUAAUCUAAUUCAAGGACAACAAUGUAAUAUCAUAUUUUUAUUAAAAUAAAUUGCAAAAAAGCAAUUAAAAUUGUGUGUAAACACGCACCACCCAUCGUCCAGCAUUGCAUCAGGGGUGCACCAGUGCGGCAGUAUGCGACCGCCUCCGGCGCGCCCUAUCGAAUCAGCUCGGCCACCCCCAAUUGGAGGUGCUCUAAGAGUUGAAAUUCAAAACUUGCAACCCCAAACCAAAAACAAAAUUUUAAUUUUCCACAAUUUUAAAUUAAAAUUCAUCUAAAUUAAAUUUGACUUGACAAUAUGAUGGUUGAAUAAACUUAAAGUUAAGCAAUCUUUACAUUCCAAUGUCCCAGUCAUCCAAGGUCAGCUCUUCCAAGUCACCCAUAGUUUGUUUUUUCCCUUCGUAUUGUUACAUUUUAUAAUUUUAAAAUUUAUUUUAUAAAAUUACCUCAUCAUAUUUAGAAAAAAAAAUUCCAUAAUUAAUUAGAGUCAUCUAAAUCUAAGAGCAUCUCCAGCGCUCGUUGCGAGCUCUGGAUCGACGCGGGACGAGGAGGCGGCGUGCGCGCUGGCGACCAGGGCAGAUGCGAGGCGGCGUCGAAGGCAAGACCCGGGGAGAGCGGCAAAGGCGUAUGGCGCGUCCUUCGGACGCGUCCAAUUUAAAAAAAAAAAUAUCGAAAAUCGUUAUUUUUUAAAAAACUUAGACCGUUGGAUAUUUAAAAAAAAAAAAAUUAACGACCGUUCCAAGCAACGGCUAUUUUGAUUUUUUUUUUCCCCUUCUAUAAAUACCACUCUUCCACUCUUUCAAAUUCACCAAUAUCUUCAACUACAAUUCUCUCUUCUACAUUUUCAAAGAUGGAUCGUGAAUUCGAUGAAUACCUCGAGCAACAAGGCGGAUCGAGGCUUCCAAUGAUGGGGUUUGCUCCAUUUUCACAAGCUUCCAAUGUCUUGGCUACGGGAAAUGUUCCCACGCCGGCGGCGAACGCCAACGUCCAAGAAGAGCCGGAGGAGGUGAAGCCGAAAGCCAAGGGCACCCGNCAAUCCUAAUUGAAUUCUUAGAUCCGUCCCUGCUUUUCUUGAUUUUUCGAUCAAUGUGGUGCUUUGUUUCAUAGAUUCAAACAGAAGUGAAGCAUUGAAUUGGGAGAAGAGAUUGCAAAUAAUUAUAGGAAUAGCAGAGGGAUUGGUGUACCUCCAUGAGAAAGCACACACAAAAAUCAUCCACAGAGACAUAAAAGCGAGCAAUAUACUAUUAGAUUCCAAAUUAUAUGCUAAAAUCGCAGAUUUUGGGCUGGUUAGAUCUUUCAAUGAAGAUAAAAGCCACAUCAGCACCGCCAUUGC